Molecule: unclassified non-coding RNA, 413 nt
Filed under: soil metagenome
Description: partial contains 5.8S ribosomal RNA, internal transcribed spacer 2, and large subunit ribosomal RNA
Rfam family: 5.8S ribosomal RNA (bases 1-120)
Source: RNAcentral
GAUGAAGAACGCAGCGAAAUGCGAUAAGUAAUGUGAAUUGCAGAAUUCAGUGAAUCAUCGAAUCUUUGAACGCACCUUGCGCUCUUUGGUAUUCCGAAGAGCAUGCCUGUUUGAGUGUCAUGAAAAUAUCAACCUUGACUUGGGUUUUGUGCUCUAGUCUCGGCUUGGAAUUGGGUGCUUGCCGCUUUUACGAGCGGCUCACCUUAAAUGUAUUAGCUGGAUCUGUCUUUGAGACUUGGUUUGACUUGGCGUAAUAAGUAUUUCGCUAAGGACAUUCUUCGGAGUGGCCUCGUUUCUAGGACGCUUGUCCGCUUUCCAAUACAAGUUCCACCUCGUGGACAUGACUUUUUAUUAUCUGGCCUCCAAUCAGGUAGGACUACCCGCUGAACUUAAGCAUAUCAAUAAGCGGAGGA